GACGAACGCUGGCGGCGUGCCUAAUACAUGCAAGUCGAGCGGACGAAUCGAAAGCUUGCUUUUGAUUCGUUAGCGGCGGACGGGUGAGUAACACGUGGGCAACCUGCCCUGUAGACGGGGAUAACACCGAGAAAUCGGUGCUAAUACCGGAUAACACGAAAUGUCGCAUGACGUUUCGUUGAAAGACGGCGCAAGCUGUCGCUACAGGAUGGGCCCGCGGCGCAUUAGCUAGUUGGUGAGGUAACGGCUCACCAAGGCGACGAUGCGUAGCCGACCUGAGAGGGUGAUCGGCCACACUGGGACUGAGACACGGCCCAGACUCCUACGGGAGGCAGCAGUAGGGAAUCUUCCGCAAUGGACGAAAGUCUUACGGAGCAACGCCGCGUGAGCGAAGAAGGCCUUCGGGUCGUAAAGCUCUGUUGUUAGGGAAGAACAAGUAACGCAGUAACUGGCGUUACCGUGACGGUACCUAACGAGAAAGCCACGGCUAACUACGUG
This 498-nucleotide ribosomal RNA is filed under the name uncultured bacterium. RNAcentral describes it as "partial 16S ribosomal RNA". It matches the Rfam family "Bacterial small subunit ribosomal RNA", at positions 28 to 507 of the family's 1533-position model. The record is from RNAcentral.